RNAcentral lists this ribosomal RNA (144 nucleotides) under Metazoa environmental sample. RNAcentral describes it as "partial small subunit ribosomal RNA". It matches the Rfam family "Eukaryotic small subunit ribosomal RNA", at positions 1296 to 1461 of the family's 1831-position model. Lineage: Eukaryota; Metazoa. The record is from RNAcentral.
AGUUGGUGGAGUGAUUUGUCUGGUUAAUUCCGAUAACGAACGAGACUCUGUCCUGCUAAAUAGAUUCAACCUUUCUUUUGGGUUGGAAUUUCUUCUUAGAGGGACUGGCGAUUAUUAGUCGCACGAGAUUGAGCAAUAACAGGU